UAACUGAAUUUGGCUCUUUUUUAUCAAGCCAUUCAAUGCAUGAGUGCCUACCCUUUGAAUCUUUCUUCUCAAUGGUUAAAGGGUUGAAGGGUCCCACUGCCCAAUGCUUCUUACUACAAGUGAUUUUUUCUAUCAACUCCAUGUAAGUACUUUCAAUUGCUCUGCUUGUAUUAUAGAUGUUUCCAUCAUUUAAUUUAAGGAAUUCCUUUUGUGCAGCAAUGAAAUCAAUGAUUUGGGGUAUGAAGCAUCCUUCCAAAGAAGGAAAUUGUAGAAUAUGUGAGGUUUGUAGUGGAGGUUUUCCCAUUUUCUCCCAAAAGAAAGAGAAAACUGUAAAAGCACAAGUACUAUGAAAUGUGUAAUUCUCAACAUUUUCUAUGUUUGCAGCAUCUUGUACAACUGAUGCCAUUAAAGAGUCAUGAAUCACAACCACCCUUUUGAAAACAGGUGAAAGUGAUUGCAUGAGUUCUUUCACAUGCUCACGAAGAUGUGAAGAGGCUUCAAAAGAAGGAAUCAAAUGAGAAGGG
This 524-nucleotide long non-coding RNA is filed under the name Cicer arietinum (chickpea). Its description in RNAcentral is "long non-coding RNA (CARI_LNC001217)". Lineage: Eukaryota; Viridiplantae; Streptophyta; Magnoliopsida; Fabales; Fabaceae. The record is from RNAcentral.